UACGUAGGGGGCAAGCGUUGUCCGAAUUUAUUGGGCGUAAAGAGCGUGUAGGCGGCCAGAUAGGUCAGCUGUGAAAACUCGAGGCUCAACCUCGAGAUGUCGGCUGAAACCAUCUGGCUAGAGUCCGGAAGAGGAGAAUGGAAUUCCCGGUGUAGCGGUGAAAUGCGCAGAUAUCGGGAAGAACACCCGUGGCGAAGGCGGUUCUCUGGGACGGUACUGACGCUGAGACGCGAAAGCGUGGGGAGCGAACAGG
This 253-nucleotide ribosomal RNA is filed under the name uncultured bacterium. RNAcentral's name for it is "partial 16S ribosomal RNA". It matches the Rfam family "Bacterial small subunit ribosomal RNA", at positions 524 to 776 of the family's 1533-position model. The record is from RNAcentral.